UGGGGAAUAUUGGACAAUGGGCGCAAGCCUGAUCCAGCAAUGCCGCGUGUGUGAAGAAGGCCUUCGGGUUGUAAAGCACUUUUAUCAGGAGCGAAACGCUGUCGGCUAAUACCCGGCGGAACUGACGGUACCUGAGGAAUAAGCACCGGCUAACUUCGUGCCAGCAGCCGCGGUAAUACGAAGGGCGCAAGCGUUAAUCGGAAUUACUGGGCGUAAAGCGUGCGUAGGCGGUUUCUUAAGUCUGCUGUGAAAUCCCCGGGCUCAACCUGGGAAUGGCAGUGGAUACUGGGAGGCUAGAGUGUGUCAGAGGGUGGUGGAAUUCCCGGUGUAGCGGUGAAAUGCGUAGAGAUCGGGAGGAACAUCAGUGGCGAAGGCGGCCACCUGGGACAACACUGACGCUGAGGCACGAAAGCGUGGGGAGCAAACAGGAUUAGAUACCUUGGUAGUCCACGCCCUAAACGAUGCGAACUGGAUGUUGGUCUCAACUCGGAGAUCAGUGUCGAAGCUAACGCGUUAAGUUCGCCGCCUGGGGAGUACGGUCGCAAGACUGAAACUCAAAUGAAUUGACGGGGUCAUAGCUGUUUCC
Molecule: ribosomal RNA, 586 nt
Filed under: uncultured bacterium
Lineage: Bacteria
Description: partial 16S ribosomal RNA
Rfam family: Bacterial small subunit ribosomal RNA
Source: RNAcentral